GCCCAGAUAGCUCAGUCGGUAGAGCAGGGGAUUGAAAAUCCCCAUGACAGAUUCCAUACCACCGCUCUGGACAGCA
Molecule: transfer RNA, 76 nt
Filed under: Aeromonas caviae
Lineage: Bacteria; Pseudomonadati; Pseudomonadota; Gammaproteobacteria; Aeromonadales; Aeromonadaceae
Description: tRNA-Phe
Rfam family: tRNA
About the family: Transfer RNA (tRNA) molecules are approximately 80 nucleotides in length.
Source: RNAcentral